CCUACGGGGGGCAGCAGUGAGGAAUAUUGGUCAAUGGGCGCAAGCCUGAACCAGCCAAGUCGCGUGAGGGAUGACGGUCCUAUGGAUUGUAAACCUCUUUUGUCGGGGAGCAAGGCCCGCCACGUGUGGCGGGAAGGAGAGUACCCGAAGAAAAAGCAUCGGCAAACUCCGUGCCAGCAGCCGCGGUAAUACGGGGGAUGCGAGCGUUAUCCGGAUUUAUGGGGUUUAAAGGGUGCGUAGGCGGAAGGUUAAGUCAGCGGUAAGAUGUCGGUGCUAAACAGCGGCCUGCCGUUGAAACUGGUCUUCUUGAGUGAGCGAGAAGUAUGGGGAAUGCGUGGGGUAGCGGUGAAAUGCAUAGAU
This 360-nucleotide ribosomal RNA is filed under the name uncultured bacterium. RNAcentral describes it as "partial 16S ribosomal RNA". It matches the Rfam family "Bacterial small subunit ribosomal RNA", at positions 338 to 695 of the family's 1533-position model. The record is from RNAcentral.